RNAcentral lists this ribosomal RNA (505 nucleotides) under uncultured bacterium. RNAcentral describes it as "partial 16S ribosomal RNA". It matches the Rfam family "Bacterial small subunit ribosomal RNA", at positions 29 to 507 of the family's 1533-position model. The record is from RNAcentral.
UACGAACGCUGGCGGCGUGCCUAAUACAUGCAAGUAGAACGCACAGUUUAUACCGUAGCUUGCUACACCAUAGACUGUGAGUUGCGAACGGGUGAGUAACGCGUAGGUAACCUGCCUGGUAGCGGGGGAUAACUAUUGGAAACGAUAGCUAAUACCGCAUAAUAUUAAUUACUGCAUGAUAAUUAAUUGAAAGGUGCAAUUGCACCACUACCAGAUGGACCUGCGUUGUAUUAGCUAGUAGGUGAGGUAACGGCGCACCUAGGCGACGAUACAUAGCCGACCUGAGAGGGUGAUCGGCCACACUGGGACUGAGACACGGCCCAGACUCCUACGGGAGGCAGCAGUAGGGAAUCUUCGGCAAUGGACGAAAGUCUGACCGAGCAACGCCGCGUGAGUGAAGAAGGUUUUCGGAUCGUAAAGCUCUGUUGUAAGAGAAGAACGGGUGUGAGAGUGGAAAGUUCACACUGUGACGGUAUCUUACCAGAAAGGGACGGCUAACUACGUG